RNAcentral lists this ribosomal RNA (499 nucleotides) under uncultured bacterium. Its description in RNAcentral is "bacterial SSU rRNA". It matches the Rfam family "Bacterial small subunit ribosomal RNA", at positions 28 to 516 of the family's 1533-position model. The record is from RNAcentral.
GAUGAACGCUAGCGAUAGGCCUAACACAUGCAAGUCGAGGGGCAUCACAUGAGGCAGCAAUGCCGAUGGUGGCGACCGGCGCACGGGUGAGUAACACGUAUGCAACCUGCCUUCAACAAGGGGAUAACCCGUUGAAAAACGGACUAAUACCCUAUAAUACAGGGGUCCCGCAUGGGGAUAUUUGUUAAAGAUUGAUCGGUUGAAGAUGGGCAUGCGUUCCAUUAGCUGGUUGGUGAGGUAACGGCUCACCAAGGCAACGAUGGAUAGGGGAACUGAGAGGUUUAUCCCCCACACUGGUACUGAGACACGGACCAGACUCCUACGGGAGGCAGCAGUGAGGAAUAUUGGUCAAUGGACGCAAGUCUGAACCAGCCACGUCGCGUGAAGGAAGACGGCCCUACGGGUUGUAAACUUCUUUUGUAAGGGAAUAAAGUGUAGUACGCGUACUAUUUUGCAUGUACCUUACGAAUAAGGAUCGGCUAACUCCGUGCCAGCAGCC